This 775-nucleotide ribosomal RNA is filed under the name uncultured bacterium. RNAcentral describes it as "bacterial SSU rRNA". It matches the Rfam family "Bacterial small subunit ribosomal RNA", at positions 8 to 777 of the family's 1533-position model. The record is from RNAcentral.
AGAGUUUGAUCCUGGCUCAGGAUGAACGCUAGCGGCAGGCUUAAUACAUGCAAGUCGAGGGGCAACAGGGGUAGCAAUACCUGCUGGCGACCGGCAAACGGGUGCGCAACACGUACAGAACCUUCCUUUAAGCGGGGGAUAGCCCAUAGAAAUGUGGAUUAAUACCCCAUAGUAAUAUUGAUUGGCAUCAGUUAAUAUUUAAAGAUUUAUCACUUAAAGAUGGCUGUGCGUCUGAUUAGGUAGUUGGUGUGGGUAACGGCCCACCAAGCCAUCGAUCAGUAACUGGUGUGAGAGCACGACCAGUCACACGGGCACUGAGACACGGGCCCGACUCCUACGGGAGGCAGCAGUAAGGAAUAUUGGUCAAUGGACGCAAGUCUGAACCAGCCAUGCCGCGUGAAGGAUGAAGGCCCUCUGGGUUGUAAACUUCUUUUAUCUGGGAAGAAAUGCUUGUUUUUCAACGAGUUUGACGGUACCAGAGGAAUAAGCACCGGCUAACUCCGUGCCAGCAGCCGCGGUAAUACGGAGGGUGCAAGCGUUAUCCGGAUUCACUGGGUUUAAAGGGUGCGUAGGUGGGUUAGUAAGUCAGUGGUGAAAUCUCCGUGCUUAACAUGGAAACUGCCAUUGAUACUACUGGUCUUGAAUUUUCUGGAGGUAAGCGGAAUAUGUCAUGUAGCGGUGAAAUGCUUAGAUAUGACAUAGAACACCAAUUGCGAAGGCAGCUUACUACAGGGAUAUUGACACUGAGGCACGAAAGCGUGGGGAUCAAACAGGA